This 1520-nucleotide long non-coding RNA is filed under the name Parus major (Great Tit). Its description in RNAcentral is "lncRNA (ENSPMJG00000002612.1)". Lineage: Eukaryota; Metazoa; Chordata; Aves; Passeriformes; Paridae. The record is from RNAcentral.
AAAAUAAAAGGGGUGGUGAAAGAUCUGUGUAGUCUGGCCUGGGGAGAGAUUCUGUGCACAAGAGAGGCACAGAAGUAUGAGGAGAUUGUUGUUGGGUGUUGGGAGUAGCUACUCAGCUUUUGCACAGGGGAGAACAUUUUCAAUGAACCCAUCUGGUUUUUAAAAGAACUGAUGAGCAAUAGAAAAGUUCCUGGUUACUUUCAGCCAGGUUUCUGCAAGAAUGAAAACAGAAAAGCAGAGCAGAAGCAGCUCACAGGUUCUUUCUUCAUCCUUCCUGCUCAACCUGUCUUGGAGGAGCAGAAUAUGAGAGGGAAUGGAGGCCACCAUGGAAAUGAGGAUAUCACCUCCAAAAUGGAUAUGUCCAGGGAUUGCUGCAACAGCCUGGUGUUCACAGAGAAGGUGCCAAGAGAGAAAAGUUUUGCUGGCCUUCAUUUCUCAUAGGACAGCCUAUAACCUGCACUUUAAACACUGGGGUAGGCCAGGCCUACAGGUCAAGUGUAAGGCUAGGGUUUGGGCUGGGUUUAGGGUUAGGGUUAGGGUUAGAGUUAGGCUUAGGGUUUGGGUUAGGGUUAGGGUUAGGGUUAGGGUUAGGGUUAGGGUUAGGGUUAGGGUUAGGGUUAGGGUUAGGCUUAGGGUUAGGGUUAGGGUUAGGGUUAGGGUUAGGGUUAGGGUUAGGGUUAGGGUUAGGGUUAGGGUUAGGCUUAGGGUUAGGGUUAGGCUUAGGGUUAGGGUUAGGGUUAGGGUUAGGGUUAGGGUUAGGGUUAGGGUUAGGGUUAGGGUUAGGGUUAGGGUUAGGCUUAGGCUUAGGCUUAGGUUUAGGCUUAGGCUUAGGUUUAGGCUUAGGCUUAGGGUUAGGGUUAGGGUUAGGGUUAGGGUUAGGGUUAGGGUUAGGGUUAGGGUUAGGGUUAGGGUUAGGCUUGGGGUUUGGGGUUUGGGGUUUGGGUUAGGGUUAGGCUUUUGGUUGUUUAGGGUUGGGGUUAGAGUUAGGGUUUGGUUUGGGUUAGAGUUAGGCUUUGGGUUUGGCUUAGGGUUAGGUUCAGGCUUUGGGUUUAGGUGAGGGUUAGGGUGAGGGUUAGGCUUUGGGUUGGGGUAUGGAUUAUGGUUAGGCUUUGGGUUUGGGUUAGGUUUAGGUUCAGGCUUUGGGUUUAGGUUAGGGUGAGGGUUAGGCUUUGGGUUGGGGUUCGAUUUUGAGGUUAGGAGUAGGAUUAGAGUUACAGCUAAGGCUCAUGGUUUGUGUUAGGAGCUGGUUUUAGGUUUAGAGUUUUAAUUGACAUUAGAAGAAUAAUAAUCCUUCAGGUACUUGUUUAGAGAGAGUUCUCACUCCUUUUACGGUGCAAUUAACCACAAUAUUUAGAUCUAGGACAAUUUUUUGGUCUUUUUUUCAGUCAGGGAAACCUGGGUGGGGGUUUAUUAUUUCAGCUUUUCUACUGUCAUCUUGGCAUAGUUUCUUUGUGCAAUUUUUUCCAGAAAAUGUUCCUUAAUAUGAAAGCCUCUUCAAAAUAAAACCUAAUUGUUUUUCA